GAAAUGCGAUAAGUAGUGUGAAUUGCAGACUUUAGUGAAUCAUCGAAUCUUUGAACGCACAUUGCGCCCUUUGGCAUUCCACUGGGCAUGCCUGUUCGAGCGUCAUACAAACUCUCAAGUUGAACUUGGUGUUGGGUGUCUGCCCCGCUCACCGCGUGGGCUCGCCUGGAAAACAUUGGUAGUGAACCCGCCCGCCUUAUGCGCAGCACUUCGCGUCCCAUGAGGCCCAGGGUGGGCUCGCACCCCGUAAAAACCCCGUCGUUUGACCUCGAAUCAGGUAGGGAUACCCGCUGAACUUAA
This 300-nucleotide unclassified non-coding RNA is filed under the name uncultured Ascomycota. RNAcentral describes it as "sequence contains ITS1". The stretch from base 1 to 105 matches the Rfam family "5.8S ribosomal RNA", at positions 50 to 154 of the family's 154-position model. The record is from RNAcentral. Lineage: Eukaryota; Fungi; Ascomycota.